GAUGAACGCUAGCUACAGGCUUAACACAUGCAAGUCGAGGGGAAACGAUAGAGAAAGCUUGCUUUUUCUAGGCGUCGACCGGCGCACGGGUGAGUAACGCGUAUCCAACCUGCCCACCACUUGGGGAUAACCUUGCGAAAGUAAGACUAAUACCCAAUGACGUCUCUAGAAGACAUCUGAAAGAGAUUAAAGAUUUAUCGGUGAUGGAUGGGGAUGCGUCUGAUUAGCUUGUUGGCGGGGUAACGGCCCACCAAGGCGACGAUCAGUAGGGGUUCUGAGAGGAAGGUCCCCCCACAUUGGAACUGAGACACGGUCCAAAACUCCUACGGGAGGCAGCAGUGAGGAAUAUUGGUCAAUGGACGAGAGUCUGAACCAGCCAAGUAGCGUGCAGGAUGACGGCCCUAUGGGUUGUAAACUGCUUUUAUAAGGGAAUAAAGUGAGUCUCGUGAGACUUUUUGCAUGUACCUUAUGAAUAAGGACCGGCUAAUUCCGUGCCAGCAGCCGACGG
Molecule: ribosomal RNA, 508 nt
Filed under: uncultured bacterium
Lineage: Bacteria
Description: bacterial SSU rRNA
Rfam family: Bacterial small subunit ribosomal RNA
Source: RNAcentral